UGGUGGGUAGUUUGACUGGGGCGGUCUCCUCCUAAAGAGUAACGGAGGAGCACGAAGGUUGGCUAAUCCUGGUCGGACAUCAGGAGGUUAGUGCAAUGGCAUAAGCCAGCUUGACUGCGAGCGUGACGGCGCGAGCAGGUGCGAAAGCAGGUCAUAGUGAUCCGGUGGUUCUGAAUGGAAGGGCCAUCGCUCAACGGAUAAAAGGUACUCCGGGGAUAACAGGCUGAUACCGCCCAAGAGUUCAUAUCGACGGCGGUGUUUGGCACCUCGAUGUCGGCUCAUCACAUCCUGGGGCUGAAGUAGGUCCCAAGGGUAUGGCUGUUCGCCAUUUAAAGUGGUACGCGAGCUGGGUUUAGAACGUCGUGAGACAGUUCGGUCCCUAUCUGCCGUGGGCGCUGGAGAACUGAGGGGGGCUGCUCCUAGUACGAGAGGACCGGAGUGGACGCAUCACUGGUGUUCGGGUUGUCAUGCCAAUGGCACUGCCCGGUAGCUAAAUGCGGAAGAGAUAAGUGCUGAAAGCAUCUAAGCACGAAACUUGCCCCGAGAUGAGUUCUCCCUGAGACUUAGAGUCUCCUGAAGGAACGUUGAAGACGACGACGUUGAUAGGCCGGGUGUGUAAGCGCAGCGAUGCGUUGAGCUAACCGGUACUAAUGAACCGUGAGGCUUAACCUUACAACGCCGAA
Molecule: ribosomal RNA, 683 nt
Filed under: Salmonella enterica
Lineage: Bacteria; Pseudomonadati; Pseudomonadota; Gammaproteobacteria; Enterobacterales; Enterobacteriaceae
Also listed under: 5 other names
Description: partial 23S ribosomal RNA
Rfam family: Bacterial large subunit ribosomal RNA
Source: RNAcentral